This is a long non-coding RNA of Psammomys obesus (fat sand rat), 1730 nucleotides long. RefSeq lists it as uncharacterized. The transcript has 2 exons. The record is from RefSeq and is a predicted model, not a curated record. Lineage: Eukaryota; Metazoa; Chordata; Mammalia; Rodentia; Muridae.
ACACCAAGGACAGAGCUUUACACUUGGACACUAGCAGCAGCCUGAGCUUUGACCCACACCCUAUCGACCAACUGGCACUGAACUGUUUGCUUACAGAGGGGGUGGCACUCUGAAAGCUACUCAGCACGCUCCUGCCCUUUCCCUGCCAAGUCUGUGACACUUUUCAACUUAAGGCCGACAGAGCAAGGCACCCAGAUUUUCUACAGCAGUCUCCCAAAAGAGCGGUAGGUUAAACCUGGAGCCCUUCUGUAACAUGCUCAGAUUCAACAUCUUUAUGUUUCCUCAGAACCAGAGUUGGAAGAGUUAAGAAUCUAUGCUUCUAAAGGACUCCCAGUCUUUACAACUCAGUCAUGGGCGGGCACCAUGAAAGAAUGUGCGGGAUCAGAGGCCUUUUCCAUUCCGCGAGGGCCACGCGGGACCCGUGGAAGUCACCAGGAGGCAAUCUGGGGGCUGUGGGGGUCGGCUUGGGGCUAGUGGAGGUCACUAAGGGUCAAAAGCCAACUGUGAGCGCUACCGGGUGUCUACUGGAAGCCGGUGGGAGAGACAGGCUGGGGAAAGGGAGGGCGGCGAAGAUCAAGGGCUGGCAGAGCCGUGGGCGGUCGCGGAGAUCCCAGGGCGGGACGUGCUCGUACAGGUGCUAGCGUCGGCGAAGGGCCGGUCAGUGUGGACGCCGGAGCUCAGGCCUUGGUGCCAGGCUGGGAGGCUCUCCCCUCAGACCCCGGGGGAGCCAGCCCACCAGCCCUUCCUGGGAUUUGCCUGUCUGUUUUCUUCUUCCCCGGCAGGUACCCGCGCUGAGCUGUGAGCCCGCGCGUGCAGGCUGCAGAGUCUGCUGCCUCCCGGCCCAGCUCAGACUAGUCCCAUGCACCACACGCAGUUUGGUGCGACCCCCUCACUGUUGUUUCCAGGCCGACCUGGGCACUCCCGAUAGUUUUCCGUCUACUUAACUGUAAUUAGUAAUCUGGCGGGAGGCUAUAGAGAUACAGGGUGCCAAGGCUGAAGAACCCUGUGUUUGGAGAAGCGGGGCGCUACUACACAUCAGUCUCGGAUAAAAGGCAGACCAGAAUCCGGGUGCGUCCCCGACUCACGCCCGAGGAAGGGAGUGAGUAGCCCGAGAACCCCGAGUGGACAGUGCGCCUCCCGGGUUCCCCACACAGUAGCAGAGGAACACGGAGACCGGAUAGAGUGGAAAGCGGCCGCUGUGCUCAACCCCUCUCCCGACAGCCCACCCCUGGCCAGCCUCCUGGGCCCCGCCCCCACGAUAAGCCAGGAAUGCCAAAUAUUUGCUCUGGGAACCCAGCGAAACGGUGAGGCGAAGCCCCUCCCUUGCCCCCUCCGGUUCCGGAGCGUGCCUGCGUCAGGACGGGCUUUCCGGUGGGACACGCCCUUCCAAGUAGUUCCUUCUACCGGUCAGCCCCUCGUCCUGGCUGUUUAAACGGAAAGGCCGGCUGCACGCACCGGUUCCGUGAGGCGGAGCCCCGGCGUCCCUGCACGGCGAUCUCGGUGCUACUGGAACAGUUGUCUACUCCCGGCGAGGCUUUCCCGUUCGCUCGCCGACUCUCGGGAGCGCUGUGAGAUCCCUUGCUGUCCUGAGCCCGCUGGAAAGAAGCUGCUGCGCCCAGGUUCCCACUAGUGAACCCGAAGCACCGGGCUGGCAGAACUGCACGGCUCCGUCCAGGUCUGGUGCGCUCAUCCAGCCAUUCCCCAUAGUAAAAAUAUUCCAGACCCUCACA